UACAGAGGAGGCAAGCGUUGUUCGGAAUUACUGGGCGUAAAGGGCGCGUAGGCGGCCUGUUAAGUCGAACGUGAAAUCCCCGGGCUCAACCCGGGAACUGCGUCCGAUACUGGCAGGCUUGAAUCCGGGAGAGGGAUGCGGAAUUCCAGGUGUAGCGGUGAAAUACGUAGAUAUUGGGAGGAACACCGGAGGCGAAAGCGGCUAUCUGGCACAUUUCU
RNAcentral lists this ribosomal RNA (218 nucleotides) under uncultured prokaryote. Its description in RNAcentral is "partial 16S ribosomal RNA". It matches the Rfam family "Bacterial small subunit ribosomal RNA", at positions 524 to 741 of the family's 1533-position model. The record is from RNAcentral.